This 838-nucleotide ribosomal RNA is filed under the name Bacillus subtilis. RNAcentral's name for it is "bacterial SSU rRNA". It matches the Rfam family "Bacterial small subunit ribosomal RNA", at positions 40 to 856 of the family's 1533-position model. Lineage: Bacteria; Bacillati; Bacillota; Bacilli; Caryophanales; Bacillaceae. The record is from RNAcentral.
UGGGGGGGUCUAUACAUGCAAGUCGAGCGGACAGAUGGGAGCUUGCUCCCUGAUGUUAGCGGCGGACGGGUGAGUAACACGUGGGUAACCUGCCUGUAAGACUGGGAUAACUCCGGGAAACCGGGGCUAAUACCGGAUGGUUGUUUGAACCGCAUGGUUCAAACAUAAAAGGUGGCUUCGGCUACCACUUACAGAUGGACCCGCGGCGCAUUAGCUAGUUGGUGAGGUAACGGCUCACCAAGGCAACGAUGCGUAGCCGACCUGAGAGGGUGAUCGGCCACACUGGGACUGAGACACGGCCCAGACUCCUACGGGAGGCAGCAGUAGGGAAUCUUCCGCAAUGGACGAAAGUCUGACGGAGCAACGCCGCGUGAGUGAUGAAGGUUUUCGGAUCGUAAAGCUCUGUUGUUAGGGAAGAACAAGUACCGUUCGAAUAGGGCGGUACCUUGACGGUACCUAACCAGAAAGCCACGGCUAACUACGUGCCAGCAGCCGCGGUAAUACGUAGGUGGCAAGCGUUGUCCGGAAUUAUUGGGCGUAAAGGGCUCGCAGGCGGUUUCUUAAGUCUGAUGUGAAAGCCCCCGGCUCAACCGGGGAGGGUCAUUGGAAACUGGGGAACUUGAGUGCAGAAGAGGAGAGUGGAAUUUCCACGUGUAGCGGUGAAAUGCGUAGAGAUGUGGAGGAACACCAGUGGCGAAGGCGACUCUCUGGUCUGUAACUGACGCUGAGGAGCGAAAUCGUGGGGGAGCGAACAGGAUUAGAUACCCUGGUAGUCCACGCCGUAAACGAUGAGUGCUAAGUGUAAGGGGGUUUCCGCCCCUUUAUUGCUGCAGCUAAC